UACGUAGGUGGCAAGCGUUGUCCGGAAUUAUUGGGCGUAAAGCGCGCGCAGGCGGUCCUUUAAGUCUGAUGUGAAAGCCCACGGCUCAACCGUGGAGGGUCAUUGGAAACUGGGGGACUUGAGUGCAGGAGAGAAGAGUGGAAUUCCCGGUGUAGCGGUGAAAUGCGUAGAGAUCGGGAGGAACACCAGUGGCGAAGGCGGCUACCUGGACCAGCACUGACACUGAGGCACGAAAGCGUGGGGAGCAAACAGG
Molecule: ribosomal RNA, 253 nt
Filed under: uncultured bacterium
Lineage: Bacteria
Description: partial 16S ribosomal RNA
Rfam family: Bacterial small subunit ribosomal RNA
Source: RNAcentral